UGUUCAAAUUGGACUGCUGGAUGAGGGGUGGUUGAAGCGAAGAAUGUCUUUACCUGGUGUAGAGAAGGGGAGGGGAGUGGUCUGAGAUUUCUGUUUCCCUCCAGCUCUGCCUCCUCUGACUGAUUGACCACUAAGGACAACACAAAGGCAGAAGAUCUCCACUCUGGGUCAUGGAGAGGGAGAGGAAUGAGUCCUAAAGGGAAGAUCACAGCUUUAGAAUAUUCCUCAAGAUGAAAGCUGAUUCUCCAGGCCUAUCCAAAGUUCCAUGGUAAAUGAAGAAGUAGAACAAUGCAGAGUAAAUGUAAAAAUCAAACAAGGCAAAUAAAAAUGAAAUAUGAAUAUAACUUGAAGUUAGUCAAAUCUGCAAUGGAAAAGUUAAAGAAGCCAAAACCAUUUAAGAAAAAAUGAAAAAAAAAAUCUAUAAUAGAUUUUGAAACAAAUGACAAAAACACUUCUAGUAACCCAAAUAAUUUUCUGAAGGGGAUGGGCAUACCUAAAGUAGAAUUUUUGAAAUUUUUUUAUAUUUGAUGGUAAAAAUCCAAGAAAUGGAUCACAAUGCACAAAAAUAGAGUACUUCCCAAAGUUGUUAUUUUCUAUGACUAUUGUGAAUGAAAUUAUUCUCUUGUAAUAUUUGAAAAUAUGGAAAUUCUUCAGUACUUACAGUUAAAGAUAUAUGCUUAAAACAUCUCCAUUGCAAGGACCAUAGUAGGAAAUGUGGCAGAAGCCUAAGGAAAGCAUUAGAGUAUUCUAAAAAGUGCAAGUCAGCAUAUGCAACAAAUUUGCUUAAUCUCCAUAUCACUCAAAUAAAGGCCACAACAUCAUAUGGAGAGUAUCUGGAAAAUCAAAGUAUUUGUGAAUUUCUUUAUACCUUUAAUAAACAAAUUAAAAUGAAAGUUUAAUGGCUAAUGAUUAACUAAAGCAGUAAAAAAAUAACUGAAUACAUAAUUCAAACUCUUUUUAAAACUUUACUUGAGGUGCUCAGAACCCAAAGAAGAACUAGAGGAUAAGGAAGCCAAUAAGAAGAAAGAUGUGGAAAACUUCUUGUCUUUAUGAUUGAAAAAUUCUAGCUCAUCAGAAAAGCAAUUUGAAUCAAAUGAAAAACAGAAAGUUUUCUAGCUGGCAAUAAAAAUGAACAAGAUAAUUACAUGUAGAUAGGUGACAGACUCCUGUUUCUCUACAAAUUUGAAAAGUGG
Molecule: long non-coding RNA, 1193 nt
Organism: Monodelphis domestica (gray short-tailed opossum)
Lineage: Eukaryota; Metazoa; Chordata; Mammalia; Didelphimorphia; Didelphidae
Source: RefSeq, a predicted model, not a curated record